CUUCCAGUGUCCUGAUGUCAAGGUGAAUGGGGUCAAUAGAGAGAGCAGCUGGUAGGAGCCAGUCUUUAGCUGAUUUCCUCCUCGAGUUGUGGGGGCUGCUGCCAAGUCAUUCGUCUCACCCUGUGUGUCUGUUAUAAUGUUGCAAAAGAAAACAGAAGUUUAUGUCCAUGCUGCAGAUAUAAAGGAUGAAGUUGUAGGGCAGGAAGUCUUAUGUAACUUGGAGCAGCUACUCAAUGGAAAUCACAAACAGAAUGAGUUUCAUCCACAUGUCAAGACACUACUACCAACAGAGCUAUUUCAGGACACCUACCUAAAUAACUAGCUGUCUCUUCCACUUAAAGCAAGGAGAGUCUUCUCUUAUCUUCAAGAAGAAUAAAAAGUGAAGCUGACAUUACUUGGAAAGAGAAUAAACAAAAUCUGUCAUGAGGACUGCAGGGAUGAAUGACACAAACCAGCCAUUUCUUUGAGAGUCAGGAAAUAUCUAGUUUAUACAAUAAGCUGAUCUACCAAUAAAAUACAAUUGGUGUUGAAAUAUAUGGCUGAGGAAAGUCCUCAUGUUUCAAGGUUCAAAGUUAUUCCAAAGAAGUCCUCGCUCUACAAAUGUAACAUUGAGAUGACGUAUUAUAUGCUUAUCAGAAUAAACUAAAGGAACAUCAAUUCAAAGAUAUUUUCACUCCAGA
Molecule: long non-coding RNA, 680 nt
Filed under: Homo sapiens (human)
Lineage: Eukaryota; Metazoa; Chordata; Mammalia; Primates; Hominidae
Description: HSALNT0033087
Source: RNAcentral